AUUGAACGCUGGCGGCAUGCCUUACACAUGCAAGUCGAACGGCAGCACGGGAGCAAUCCUGGUGGCGAGUGGCGAACGGGUGAGUAAUGUAUCGGAACGUACCUUUCAGUGGGGGAGUAACGUAGCGAAAGUUAACGCUAAUACCGCAUAUUCUGUGAGCAGGAAAGGACAGGGGAGUCGCAAGACCUUGCGCUGAUUGAGCGGCCGAUAUCAGAUUAGCUAGUUGGUGAGGUAAAGGACUCACCAAGGCGACGAUCUGUAGCGGGUCGUGAGAGGAUGAUCCGCCACACUGGAACUGAGACACGGUCCAGACUCCUACGGGA
Molecule: ribosomal RNA, 323 nt
Filed under: uncultured bacterium
Lineage: Bacteria
Description: bacterial SSU rRNA
Rfam family: Bacterial small subunit ribosomal RNA
Source: RNAcentral